Long non-coding RNA from Hyaena hyaena (striped hyena), 237 nucleotides. RefSeq lists it as uncharacterized. The record is from RefSeq and is a predicted model, not a curated record. NCBI's taxonomy places the organism in Eukaryota, Metazoa, Chordata, Mammalia, Carnivora, Hyaenidae. The transcript is spliced from 3 exons.
GAGCAAACCAAGACAAAGGCAGCAAGUCCCUGGCCCUAUUCUGGGGUGGUGAAAGAUCCAAACACUGGUAUCCUGAUGGGCAUAAUGUGAUCAUCAUUUACAUGAUCCAAAUAAGGAUGAUAAUAAAAAGGAAUUAGAUCGAAACACCAGCUAAAGAGUCCUUCGGUUUUUCUCUGCUUGGGUCCACACAAGUUAACUCUGUCCUACUCAGCUGAUCUGGAUACACGCCCAGUCCUU